Molecule: small nucleolar RNA, 147 nt
Filed under: Drosophila mojavensis
Lineage: Eukaryota; Metazoa; Arthropoda; Insecta; Diptera; Drosophilidae
Description: snoRNA:GI25319
Source: RNAcentral
GCACAAAACCCAAUUGAGGCAACUUUGUUGGUUGUUCCCAGUUUGACCUUAGUGAACGUGUCUAUGUGCGAUAGUAAUUUGACUUGACGUCGCAUUUGCUAUGACCCUUAACCACAUGGCAUGGCGAACUGAAACUUCGAGUUACAA